Molecule: ribosomal RNA, 30 nt
Filed under: Anopheles sinensis
Lineage: Eukaryota; Metazoa; Arthropoda; Insecta; Diptera; Culicidae
Description: partial 28S ribosomal RNA
Source: RNAcentral
AAGCCUCAAGUUAUGUGUGACAACCCCCUG